Molecule: long non-coding RNA, 3107 nt
Organism: Ixodes scapularis (black-legged tick)
Lineage: Eukaryota; Metazoa; Arthropoda; Arachnida; Ixodida; Ixodidae
Exons: 4
Source: RefSeq, a predicted model, not a curated record
AAUCCAGUGGAGGUAUUGUUCAAGGCGUUGGGGUUUGUUGGGGCAGCUGACGGGUCGUGUGGCUUUGUGUUAUGAAUAUGCGUUUUCGCUGUGUGCUUGUGAUAGUUUGAUUGCGUGAAAUUGGCUGUGAACUAAUCGCGGUAACCGUGAGCUUGGCUUCGUGGAUCCAUUUUUGGACUGCCGGUUCUUCAAAGGUGCACUCGCCACACUCGUCUGACCGGAGCACCCUCUUCACUACUUGAAACGUUUCGGCCUGGGAGUCCUCGAACCCAGUUUUCCUCCACGUGGCGUCGGUUACUUUGAAAAUUCUGGAUGGAGAUGAACUGCUGCCUCUCGCGGCUGGAGACUGACAGAGCCGUUAUCGGAGCCCUUUGUUUCGAUGACUUGCCUACGAAGAGACCGCUCCGGGCGUGGCGACCGAGUUCCCCUCCUGCUACGAGUGUGGCUGCUUCUUACCCGACCGAGAACUGCUGAGCCUCCACCUGAAAGAAGCGCACAACUCCAGGAAAGGCAAGUUUGAGUGCAGCCGGUGCCCCUACUCGAGCAUCAACAAGUUCGACGUCAAGCGCCACGAACGCAUACACACCGGCGAGAAACCCUUCCAGUGCCGGUUCUGCAACCGGGCAUUCAAUCAGUCCUCGACACUGAUCUCGCACCGGCGGACACACACGGGCGAGCGCCCGUACCGUUGCGGCCGCUGUGACCGAGGGUUCAGCAGAAAAGGCGACAUGCAGCGCCACUGGAACAGGUGCGACGGCUUCGUGUGACCUGGCCGAAGCCCCGCGUCUACGACGAGCUGCUCGGUUCAGACGUCCUCGCACCGGACAACUGCGCGCGUGGCAGCACUUGCCUGCGACGUGCGCGGCGUGAGCUUCGUGAGUGUGUCGACUGCGGUCGCGUGUGGGACGACCGGGCACGUGAUGCAACGAUUUUGCGUUUGGCGGUCGCCCUCUUCUGCCAACUCCACCUGAGCUCGGCGGGACGAGGAAUCUUGGGGACUCACUGUCAUCAUUUUUGUGUCAUUUAUUGCCCGGAGGGAAGGCCUGCAGGCCUGCAGAGAGCAGAUUGUCCAGUGUUGUCACUUGCUCCUGUCGUUCAGCGCGUGUUACGAAUGGCAACUAAAAAAUUGAUCGGCAUUGGCCGAAGACGGAUUGCGCGUAGCACAAGCAGCCUCUCUGUUUGUUCAUUGCAUUUUUACAACACUAAGUAUUGUAAAAUGUCGAAUGGACACUUACCCAGACUCAAUUGCAUUACUGUAAAAUACCGGCGAAGUACCCGCAGUACUUUUACUGAAAAUUGGGUUAAUCUAGACAUGGGCAAGCACUUAUCCAGUCAAAUUGGGCAGUUAACGAAUAAUUUGCAGAAUUCUCAAGUGUGGGAAAUUUUAAUAGUGGGCGCUUCUGCGAUAUCUUAUGGUAAUAAAAAAAAAAAUUUGGAGCAGGCACUUGCUUGAGUAUAUGUCUAUAAAUAUGUCAUGUACUCUCUCCUUUUUCAAACUGUAUGGAAAACAAGGUAGAAACUUGUGUCGGUGUGAGCGCAUGCUUGGUAUUCAAGUAAAGUGUCAACAUUUCCAAGUCGUACGGUUUAGAACGGGUCUCCAAAUGCAAAGGAAUUUUAACAUGCAUAGUUACACAGAUAUGAAACGGGACUAAGAAUGAUGAUGACAAUGUCCAAUAAAUAAUAAGACGAAAGAUGCGCCUUAUGAUUGGCAGUUUUCUCUAGUUUUAUUCGCAGGCCGGGCUUCGUUAAUAGAACUGCAGCCAGCCACGGCCAGCUCGCUGGUUGGAGUUUGGAGACCCCUCAUUUAGAACAUACUUCAAUUUACCGUGCUCUCGCAUCUCCUACGAUAUUACAUUAUUACAGAUAUAGAUGGAUGCCUAUACAGCUGUAUGAAAGACUUGAAGCAGCUUUUGCUUUCAACCAGCUUUUAUUAACAAUCAAUGGCACUGACAACGAAAUCCACCCGUAUCGGGAAUUUCGUUGCGAUUAUUAUCUUUGAUUUAUACUUAACUGUUGGUCUCUACAUCGGAGAUGCAUGUUUCUGCAUUUACUGCCCAUUCAUUAGGUGUACCUCAUGAUGGAAAUAUUAUGAUCUUGUUUUUUUGUUUUUUUUCAUGCUCCUUCCUGCUGUUCUUGUAUGAGGAUAAAUAUAAAUUAAAACAAUCAUGAUACAAAACAGAAAAACAGGUUCAUUGUGCACAAACAUUCUGAUUUUAUAUGCGGUUAUACUUUUUGGGGAGAAUAUUUUGCCCAAUAGUUAAUGCCAAGGCAUGACACUGCAUAAGUUGGCUUGUUCGCAUCAGUCUUGUGCUUGGCUUCGUGUAGGCUGAAAGUUACGUGAAAUAAAAAUUUCGCGCAUAGUUUACCGAAUUGUUAACCCCUACAUGAAGAUCAGAGAGUGAUAGCAGGAAGAUGGAUUUCUAUAUGUAAAAUCUUAGAAGAAAGUAACAAAAGUAUCAUUUUUUUGUAAAAUAAUAUUCUCCUGACAUGUAUCACUAGCAACUCAGCCAUAAAUGCAGAAGUGGACAAAAUCAGCUUUUCACUAAUGCUUUUAGUCUGGCUAGGAUAUGCAUUCCGAAUGAUUAAAAAGCACUCAACAAGAUGUACGGGAUAAAAGGCAAGCACUUCAGAUUUGUGUCUGUGCUACAUUCUUGUUCAUCGUUUCAUUCUUUUUUUUUUUUUUUGAUAAUUUUUUGUGUACUUGAUGGUAUACUUUAGUGACAAACACUAACUAGAGAUAAGUAAGGUAUUUGAGUUGGCAGCAGUUUGUAACAUGAACCCAAGACGUACAGCAAAGGACAUUAAAGUCUCCUCGAAAGCAACAUGCCAGUUGGAUAGUUCUUCUAUGUUGCCCAUAAAAGUUCCGGGAAGACUACCUCGUCUCCAUCCACGGAGGUCUUAAGAAAACUGUCUUGAGAACGUUAAGCUGUCUGUCCAUCCAUCAAAGUCCCACGAAUGCUGUUUUGUCUCUCCAUCCACGGAUUUCUUAAGAAGACAGUCUUGGGAACUCUAGAUUGUCUGUCUGUCCCACGUCCGUCAGUCUUGGGUCUCCCGUCAUAAGUGUCUUGCCACCACGCGCGUCGAAGCUAAUCGUCGAAAAUGCAUUC